Molecule: RNA transcript, 3450 nt
Organism: Quercus lobata
Lineage: Eukaryota; Viridiplantae; Streptophyta; Magnoliopsida; Fagales; Fagaceae
Gene name: F-box protein PP2-B1-like
Exons: 1
Source: RefSeq, a predicted model, not a curated record
AUCUUAUUGAUUGAUGAAAAGAAUCCAAUGAAUGAAAUAAUACAUAACUACUCCUAUAUAUACAAUCUAAGCAAGUAAAGAAAGUAACUAACUCCGUAAUUGGAGGGAAAAUCUUUUACAAAAAUCCUAUCUAUUAGACCACGUGUACAUUGACUAAACUCUGUACGUGGCAUUUCUUCUUCAAAAGUGUGAAUGAACUGUUCAUGGUAAGAGACUGCUUCAAUCAAGUCUAGCCCAGUCACUCUGUGUUUUAGUUGCUUGAUCACUGCUCUCUUCUUCAACUCUGGUUUUAAGCUUGCUCUUGUCCUGAGUGCAUCCCUUCUUACUUUCAACAACAAGCCAGUUGAGGAGGAUUCAGCAUUAGACAAAUAUUCCCGCACCAGAACUUCUCUCUUCAACUCCAAACAAUACUAAAACAUACGGGACUAAUGGAAUAUUCUAAAUAUCAUGAGGCAUAAAUGACUGCCUUAAAAGAUCAAGCCUCCAGAAAUGAGUAUCCAUAUCUAUCAACUCAGCAACCUUAGCUUCAGGAUGAAAGUAACUUCAGGUGAUAGUAUCUGAUGAGAUUCAGCAGCAGAAAGCCAUCUAUCUUUGAAAAUACAGUCUCCCCAUUUCCAAUCCUCCCACACAAUCCCUGUUUCAGUAUUUUCCUUCCAGCUAAUACACUUUGCCAAGUAUAUGAUGGAGCACGACCCAACUUGGCUUGAAGGAAAGAACAGUGAGGAUAUUACAUGGUCUUCCAAAUUCUUGCUAAGAUUGAGUCUGGAUCAUUCAAAAUUUUCCACCCUUGCUUAGCCAACAUAGCAAGAUUAAAAGAUUGCAGCUCCUUGAAACCCAAUCCACCAUUGCGUUUAGAAACACAUAAGUUGUCCCAUAGCCCAAUGCAUCUUCUGUUCUGAAUGCUUCUGCCCUCACCAAUAAGCAGCUGUCGUUUGAGUGAGUUCCUUGCAUAACCUCACAGGUAGUUGGAAGAAACUCAUAACAUAGGAAGGGAUGGCUUGUAUGACUGACUUUAUCAAAACUUCCUUCCCAACAAUAGGCAGAUUCUUCUCCUUCCAACCAUAUAGUCUACUUGAAACUUGGGAUUUUAAAUCUUCAAAUGCAGCACGUCUAGAGCAACCAAUAAAAGCUGGAACCCCAAAUAACAAUCAAAACUAUUUGUUUCUUGACCAACCAAUAGAGUUGUAAAUAAAUCACAGUCAGAUUGUUGCACAUUUGAACUGAAGAAAACUUGGGUUUUUGCUCUGUUAACAACCAGACCUGACAGUUUCUCAUAACAGCCAAAAACACGAAGAAUCUCAUCACAAGUCAUACUUGAUGCUUUCCUAAAGAUGACACAAUCAUCUGUAAAGAAUAAAUGAUUCAAACAAGGACCUCCACAACUAGCAGCACCUCCAGAUAACCAUUUGGCUUGCUAAGAUUGUGUUAAUUGGCUUGAUAGUCCUGCACAAAGAAGAAAGAUAUAUGGGGAGAUAAGGUAACCUUGGCAUAAUCCUCUGUUAGAACUGAAAAAACCUUUUGGAGAACCAAUGAUUAAAACCAAGUAUGUAGGAGUAGAGGAUACACUCCAGAACCAAAUUGAUCCAGCUCGAACCAAAGCCUAAAUUCUGCACCAUCAUUCUUAGAAAAGGCAACUCAAUAUGAUCAUAAAGCUUUACUCAUAAUUAAAAGAAAAAAAAAAAAUUAUGUAACUAUUAUUAUAAGCACUCAGCAUUUGUUGACAGAGUUUUGUGCCAAUUUAUGGGUUCAUUCAACUUAUGUACAACUUUUUAAAGUGUUAUUUAUUUUUUAUUUUUUAUAAAAGUUUUGUCAAAUUUAUUUUUUAAGCCCAAGAAGGCAACUACUCAGGCAGCAUUCGUGCUCUAUAUGAUUAGCUGAUUUCUUCAAUUACAUGCACAAAUUAAACAGGUUCCCUAAGGUGGCUGAACUUACCAGUGUGUUGGCUGGAAAUCUGUGGCAGGAUUAACACUUGUAUGCUGUCCCUAGCCACACUGUAUACAGCUUACCUUGAGUUCAAGACAACUACAGCGUCAUAUGGAUUUGAAUUCCAACCUAUUCAGGCCGUGCUUGGACUUGUUGGAGGAGAAAUUCAUAAGCAGUCUAUCUAUUUGUAUGCAGAAAGAGGGUGGAGGCUGUGAUACAAGAUAUUACCAAUGCGAGUUGGGUUUUUUAACAGCUGCCACAGCAGCAUUACAGGAUUUCACACACCACAGCCACAGCCUAGAGAAAACGAGGAACUGGAUGGCCUUAAGUAUCCCAAGGAGAGAGUAGAUGGGUGGCUGGAGACUGAGUUAGGUGAGUUCUUCAAUGAAUCAGGAGAAGAUCAUGGGGAACUUGAAAUGAGCAUUUUGGAGGUCAAAGAUGGUGACUGGAAGGGUGGCCUCAUUCUUCAAGGGACUGAGAUAAAGCUAAACCUUAAUUGAAUUUGUUGUUUUGAUUCAAUUUAGUAAGGUGAUUGAAGAAAAGGCAAAGAAUGUGGUAUGGGAUAUCGGAUGGCCUUGUGAUGAAAAAAAUAUUAGGAGCGAGAUAUAUAGCAUUAGUGCAGCACAUUGUGAUGGUACCAGGUGCAAAGAUGACAAAAGCAUGUCUAACACCUGUAACUCAGAAAUCAUCCUGCAUGGGUGGGUUUUAAAAUUUUAUGUCUCUCUAGUUAUUCUUGUAAUUGGAACAUGGAUUUCAGCCAAUAAAUUGAAUGGAAGUCUAUGCUUUAUUCAUCUAUUUUUAUUACUUUUUCUGUUAUAAUUUUUCUUUUAUAUAUAGAUAUUCAUUAGUAAAGUAAAAUGAUUAAUUUUUUGUUUGCACUGUGACUAGAUUAUUUUCAUUGAGAUAAAAAUAUAAUUCAUAUAAAAUGUUAUAUAUGUGUGUCUGUGUGGGUGUGUGUGUGUGUGUGUGUGAGAGAGAGAGAGAGAGAGAGAGAAAGUGCAAUAUCAGGGAUACACCUGGUUGAAUGGGGUUGGACAUGUGUAAGCUCUACUCAUAUCGUCUCUCACCCUCAAGCACUGGCACCAUAUUGCUUCUUCUUUAUCCAAAAGUCUUCAAUCUGCUUCUUUAAAGUGUUAGCUUGCACACCAAUCACAGGAUUGGGAAAGUGAUCAAUAACCUGAAGUUCUUGAUGUCCUGUACAAAUUUGAUUGUAAAUAUUACCAAAGCAAAGUCUCUGCCAACAUCUUCUACAGACCUACAAAUGUUCACAAAUGCUCUACAAGGGGCUGCCCAUCACAUUCACAGAAGUCCACACCUCCUCAAUUAGUGCUUCACAACUUGGAUUAGAUGACCAAGCCAUUUCAAAACUAAAAGGCUUCCUUGUACAUUGCCGAAGGACCAGAGUCAAGACAAAUAAAAAUAAUAGAGCGGUCUGAACCAGUUGAAGAAACAUGCUCAACAACAGUAGAAGGAAAUAUCUCAAUCAAAGAGGCAGAAGCCAAUGCUCUAUCCAGGCGAGCACAAGUA